CAAUAGCGUAUAUUAAAGUUGUUGCGGUUAAAAGCUCGUAGUUGGAUUUCUGUCGGAGACGCGCGGUCCGCACUAUGUGCGUGUAUCUGUGUCGGCUCUGGCAUCCUCCUGGGGAAGCGGUGCUGCGCUUGAUUGCGUGGUCCGGUAUUCAGGACUUUUACUUUGAAGGAAAUUAGAGUGUUUACGGCAGGCAAGCGCCUUGAAUAUAUUAGCAUGGAAUAAUAACAUAGGACUUUGGUUCUAUUUUGUUGGUUUCUAGAACUAAGGUAAUGAUUAAUAGGGAUAAUUGGGGCGGAUUCGUAUUAACACGUCAGAGGUGAAAUUCUUGGAUUGUGUUACGACGAACUACUGCGAAAAGCAUUUGCCAAAGGAUGUUUUUCAUUGAUCAAAGAAACGAAAAGUGUGGGGAUCGAA
This 414-nucleotide ribosomal RNA is filed under the name uncultured eukaryote. Its description in RNAcentral is "SSU rRNA". It matches the Rfam family "Eukaryotic small subunit ribosomal RNA", at positions 592 to 1002 of the family's 1831-position model. The record is from RNAcentral.